Long non-coding RNA from Gasterosteus aculeatus aculeatus (three-spined stickleback), 1174 nucleotides. The record is from Ensembl. NCBI's taxonomy places the organism in Eukaryota, Metazoa, Chordata, Actinopteri, Perciformes, Gasterosteidae.
UCAAACACAGCCGUUAAAUGAUGGAGAGUUGAGAAGCAAAGUGCACGAGGACAAAAGGAAGAGUCGCCAGUUCAACAUGUCCCACCCGGUGGAAUUCUGUCUCCAAGAUCAAAUCUUUUUUUGCAAAGCGCGGGCAAAGUUUGGGCCGAUGGGAAGCUGUAUCCCUCCGAAAGGGAAAAGUUUGCCCACGAUGUUUUCAUUCUCUACCUCUGAGCCAUGACCGCAGCAGCAGCAGCCCCUGAAUGACACGGAUACUUCACCCAGGAAGGAAACUCCCUGCUUUCCCAAAGGACAUCAUUCCAAAGUCCACUACAGCAGCUGCGCGUAAGCAGCGUGUAUGUUUUUAUAAGGGGACUGAGUCAACGGACACGCAUUUGCAAUAACAAUAAUCCCUCCUCGCUUCCUUUCUCCUCGCAGAUUAUUUGGUAGUUGCAGCUCUACUGUCUGUAUUUAGAAGAUCAAGGAACUGCUGAUAUGCAAACAAUAUUCAGUGAAUGACGCAUAUGGAAGAGGAAAUUUCCGGUUUGAAUACAGAUUAAGUUUUAUGAUGCACAUUUCUGUCUCUCUUUGUUGUAAAUACUGUGUACUUACACAAUCUCUUGAAAUGAAUAGAAAACUGUAACAUGUAUGAUUAUAUCUGUUAAUUUCACAUCAAUGCUUAAUGCUAUUUUUCAUUGAAUUUUGUCCCUGUUCCUCAUAAAUGCUGUUAACUCUUGUCAUACCUCUGAAAGGCAACUCUUUCACUUUCUUAAGGAAUGCCAGGAUCAUAUUCUUCUUUCACUCCUUCGCAUUUUGAAAUACCACCAGUGAUAACUGAAUAAAAGUUAUGAUGCCUAAUUGUUUCUAUAAAAGUUGCAAAAACAUGUACAAGGAAUGUUGAUCAUCCUAAUAUUCCUUAGUCUGCUGCCGUAUAUGAAAGUAACAGUAAUGCUCUAGAGUAUUUAAAUUGAGAUGAUGUCACACAAAAACAAAUAUAAAACAAUGAGCAAGGAUUAACGCUUUACUCUCCAUAAAGAGCCAGCCAGGUUUAUUUGUGUAGCACCUGUUCAACAGCAAGGUAAUGCAAAGAUGUUUAAUAAGUAAAGUACAAUGAGCAAUAAAGACAAUAAGAGACAAGUCAAGUCUUCCAUAAGUAAACACCAGUGAGAAGAUCCACUGUCCGGCUCUAAGUGAG